UGGGAGGUAAAUUUCUCCUAAGGCUAAAUAUCGGCGAGAGACCGAUAGCGAACAAGUACCGUGAGGGAAAGAUGAAAAGAACUUUGAAAAGAGAGUAAAACAGUACGUGAAAUUGUUGAAAGGGAAACGAUUGAAGUCAGUCGUACCGACGAGAAAUCAGCUUAUCGUGUGCGAACUUGUGAGCGUGCGUGAGUUUCGGCCUCGCUGUUUGCAUGUUUGUGCGUUUUGGGUGUACUUUUUCGUAUGGUAGGCCAACGUCAGUUUCGAAUACCAUAAAAUGACCGGCGGAAUGUAGCUUCGAUUUCGGUUGAAGUGUUAUAGCCUCUGGUAGAUGUGGUAAUUGGGACUGAGGAUUGCAACGAAUAUCCUUUGGGCUAUCCGUCUGACCUCUGAAAGUUGCUCAGGUGCCGAAAGCUUGCUUACGGUCAUCUAAGUUGACGUUCAAUAGGCUAGAACGUGACUACAUUCGUUAAGGACGUUGGCGUAAUGGCUUUAAACGACCCGUCUUGAAACACGGACCAAGGAGUCUAACAUAUAUGCGAGUGUUCGGGUGUUUAAACCCUUACGCGUAAUGAAAGUAAUUUUGGUGGGAUCACUUUUGUGUGCACCAUCGACC
This 616-nucleotide ribosomal RNA is filed under the name uncultured Glomeromycotina. RNAcentral's name for it is "eukaryotic LSU rRNA". It matches the Rfam family "Eukaryotic large subunit ribosomal RNA", at positions 293 to 766 of the family's 3401-position model. Lineage: Eukaryota; Fungi; Glomeromycota. The record is from RNAcentral.